AAUCCUGGUGGCGAGUGGCGAACGGGUGAGUAAUAUAUCGGAACGUGCCCGGUCGUGGGGGAUAACGUAGCGAAAGCUACGCUAAUACCGCAUACGAUCUACGGAUGAAANCGGGGGAUCGCAAGACCUCGCGCGAUUGGAGCGGCCGAUAUCAGAUUAGGUAGUUGGUGAGGUAAUGGCUCACCAAGGCGACGAUCCGUAACUGGUCUGAGAGGAUGAUCAGUCACACUGGAACUGAGACACGGUCCAGACUCCUACGGGAGGCAGCAGUGGGGAAUAUUGGACAAUGGGCGAAAGCCUGAUCCAGCCAUGCCGCGUGUGUGAAGAAGGUCUUCGGAUUGUAAAGCACUUUAAGUUGGGAGGAAGGGUAGUAACCUAAUACGUUGCUACUUUGACGUUACCGACAGAAUAAGCACCGGCUAACUUCGUG
This 430-nucleotide ribosomal RNA is filed under the name uncultured bacterium. RNAcentral describes it as "bacterial SSU rRNA". It matches the Rfam family "Bacterial small subunit ribosomal RNA", at positions 81 to 507 of the family's 1533-position model. The record is from RNAcentral.